RNAcentral lists this ribosomal RNA (483 nucleotides) under uncultured bacterium. RNAcentral describes it as "partial 16S ribosomal RNA". It matches the Rfam family "Bacterial small subunit ribosomal RNA", at positions 28 to 507 of the family's 1533-position model. The record is from RNAcentral.
GACGAACGCUGGCGGCGUGCUUAACACAUGCAAGUCGAACGCUGAAGCUCAGCUUUUGUUGGGUGGAUGAGUGGCGAACGGGUGAGUAACACGUGAGUAACCUGCCUCCUUCUUUGGGAUAACGCCCGGAAACGGGUGCUAAUACUGGAUAUUCACUGGUCUUCGCAUGGGGGUUGGUGGAAAGGGUUUUUCUGGUGGGGGAUGGGCUCGCGGCCUAUCAGCUUGUUGGUGGGGUGAUGGCCUACCAAGGCUUUGACGGGUAGCCGGCCUGAGAGGGUGACCGGUCACAUUGGGACGGAGAUACGGCCCAGACGCCUACGGGAGGCAGCAGUGGGGAAUAUUGCACAAUGGGCGAAAGCGUGAUGCAGCGACGCCGCGUGAGGGAUGGAGGCCUUCGGGUUGUGAACCUCUUUCGCUCAUGGUCAAGCCGCAACAAUGGUUGUGGUGAGGGUAGUGGGUAAAGAAGCGCCGGCUAACUACGUG